UCCGUAGGUGAACCUGCGGAAGGAUCAUUAAAAUUAGAAAAGUGCGGGUUCGCCCGCACUCUCUAUACCCUUUGUUUACCAACCAUUGUUGCUUUGGCAGGCCGCGGCCUCCGCUGCGGGCUUCAUGCUCGCAUGUGCCUGCCAGAGGACCCCAACUCUUGAUUUUAGUGAUGUCUGAGUACUAUUAAAUAGUUAAAACUUUCAACAACGGAUCUCUUGGUUCUGGCAUCGAUGAAGAACGCAGCGAAAUGCGAUAAGUAAUGUGAAUUGCAGAAUUCAGUGAAUCAUCGAAUCUUUGAACGCACAUUGCGCCCGCUGGUAUUCCGGCGGGCAUGCCUGUUCGAGCGUCAUAAUGACCAACUCACGCUCCGCGUGGUCUUGGGGCCCGCUGCCACGGCGGCCCCUAAACGCAGUGGCGGUGCCGUGCGGCUCUCAGCGUAGUAAUUCUUCUCGCUACAGGGUCCGGACGGUGCUGGCCAGCAACCCCAACUAUAUAAGGUUGACCUCGGAUCAGGUAGGGAUACCCGCUGAACUUAAGCAUAUC
This 544-nucleotide ribosomal RNA is filed under the name Articulospora atra. RNAcentral's name for it is "eukaryotic LSU rRNA". The stretch from base 197 to 350 matches the Rfam family "5.8S ribosomal RNA". Lineage: Eukaryota; Fungi; Ascomycota; Leotiomycetes; Helotiales; Discinellaceae. The record is from RNAcentral.